RNAcentral lists this transfer RNA (67 nucleotides) under Trechoblemus micros. Its description in RNAcentral is "tRNA-Cys". The record is from RNAcentral. Lineage: Eukaryota; Metazoa; Arthropoda; Insecta; Coleoptera; Carabidae.
AGUUUUAUAAUUUAAAUAAAAAUCUUAAAUUGCAAAUUUAAUUAUAGAAUUUUAAUUCUUAAAACUU